UACAGAGGGCGCAAGCGUUAAUCGGAAUUACUGGGCGUAAAGCGUGCGUAGGCGGUUUCGUAAGUCGGGUGUGAAAGCCCCGGGCUCAACCUGGGAAUUGCAUUCGAGACUGCGGAGCUAGAGCGCGGAAGAGGGAAGUGGAAUUUCCGGUGUAGCGGUGAAAUGCGUAGAUAUCGGAAGGAACACCAGUGGCGAAAGCGACUUCCUGGUCCAGCACUGACGCUCAGGCACGAAAGCGUGGGGAGCAAACAGG
This 253-nucleotide ribosomal RNA is filed under the name uncultured bacterium. Its description in RNAcentral is "partial 16S ribosomal RNA". It matches the Rfam family "Bacterial small subunit ribosomal RNA", at positions 524 to 776 of the family's 1533-position model. The record is from RNAcentral.